Molecule: ribosomal RNA, 452 nt
Filed under: uncultured bacterium
Lineage: Bacteria
Description: bacterial SSU rRNA
Rfam family: Bacterial small subunit ribosomal RNA
Source: RNAcentral
AACGAACGCUGGCGGCAGGCUUAACACAUGCAAGUCGAGCGAAGACUUCGGUCUUAGCGGCGGACGGGUGAGUAACGCGUGGGAACAUACCCUUUGCUACGGAACAGUCCCGGGAAACUGGGUUUAAUACCGUAUACGCCCUUCGGGGGAAAGAUUUAUCGGCAAAGGAUUGGCCCGCGUUGGAUUAGGUAGUUGGUGGGGUAAAGGCCUACCAAGCCGACGAUCCAUAGCUGGUUUGAGAGGAUGAUCAGCCACACUGGGACUGAGACACGGCCCAGACUCCUACGGGAGGCAGCAGUGGGGAAUCGUAGACAAGGGGGGCAACCCGGAUCUAGCCAUGCCGCGGGAGGGAUGAAGGCCUUAGGGGUGUAAAGCGCGGUCAGCGGGGAAGAUAAUGACGGUACCAGCAGAAGAAGCCCCGGCUAACUCCGUGCCAGCCGCCGCGGUAACAC